UAUAUUUUAUAUAAUGCGGUGGUAUUAAGGUACCAACAAUGAACUGAAGAUUUUCUUGAUGGUCUACCCAAACUGUACAAAAAUAUGCUGGGUUUGCAAAAUGAGAAACAUCAGGAUUUCAAAGUGUGUAUGUAGAUCUACUAAUAUAGAGUAACACCUUCAGCAAAUUAAAACUCGCAAACUAUGCAACUUACACAUGUGGCUAACAUUAAAACAAAUGGCCAAGUAAAAUAAUACACACAAAUAAAUAAGAAAUAAAAUACAAAGAAUGAAGUUGCCCGAGUAGACCAGUCAGUUUUUGUAAUCAAAAACUAAAGUGAGAAUUCAAAAUCAAAUUCAAUUGAAUGUUAAAAUAGCCAAACUGG
Non-coding RNA from Pelobates cultripes (western spadefoot toad), 365 nucleotides. The record is from the annotation of a GenBank genome assembly. Lineage: Eukaryota; Metazoa; Chordata; Amphibia; Anura; Pelobatidae.